This 397-nucleotide long non-coding RNA is filed under the name Vitis vinifera (wine grape). RNAcentral describes it as "long non-coding RNA (VVIN_LNC006003)". The record is from RNAcentral. Lineage: Eukaryota; Viridiplantae; Streptophyta; Magnoliopsida; Vitales; Vitaceae.
AAGAAUCCAAAGCUUGAAGAUGAUGAAGAGGACGGGGAGGUUAGGGGAGAGACAACGGGGUUUGUGAAUCUGGACGAGAAUCUGCUGUACGAGGUGCUCAAGCACGUGGACGCACGUACUCUGGCCAUCGCUGGGUGCGUUAGCAAGCUCUGGCACAGAACGUCCCAGGACGAGCGGCUCUGGGAGCUGAUCUGUACCAGACACUGGGCUAAUAUCGGCUGCGGCAACCAACAGGUCCGAUCUGUGGUUCUCGCUCUCGGAGGUUUUCGUCGUCUCCACUCUCUCUACCUCUGGCCGCUGUCCAAGCCCCAGGCUUCCUCAUCAUCUUCGCCGCCGUCGUCAUCGUGGCCGUCGACUGCACUAUCGCCUCCGUUUGCGCCGCAUUCGAUGAUGCGGC